UGGGGAAUAUUGGACAAUGGGGGGCAACCCUGAUCCAGCAAUGCCGCGUGUGUGAAGAAGGUCUUCGGAUUGUAAAGCACUUUCGACGGGGACGAUGAUGACGGUACCCGUAGAAGAAGCCCCGGCUAACUUCGUGCCAGCAGCCGCGGUAAUACGAAGGGGGCUAGCGUUGCUCGGAAUGACUGGGCGUAAAGGGCGUGUAGGCGGUUUACACAGUCAGAUGUGAAAUCCCCGGGCUUAACCUGGGAGCUGCAUUUGAUACGUGUAGACUAGAGUGUGAGAGAGGGUUGUGGAAUUCCCAGUGUAGAGGUGAAAUUCGUAGAUAUUGGGAAGAACACCGGUGGCGAAGGCGGCAACCUGGCUCAUGACUGACGCUGAGGCGCGAAAGCGUGGGGAGCAAACAGGAUUAGAUACCCUGGUAGUCCACGCUGUAAAUGAUGUGUGCUAGAUGUUGGGUAACUUUGUUAUUCAGUGUCGCAGUUAACGCGUUAAGCACACCGCCUGGGGAGUACGGGCCGCAAGGU
RNAcentral lists this ribosomal RNA (524 nucleotides) under uncultured bacterium. RNAcentral describes it as "partial 16S ribosomal RNA". It matches the Rfam family "Bacterial small subunit ribosomal RNA", at positions 355 to 894 of the family's 1533-position model. The record is from RNAcentral.